This 343-nucleotide transfer-messenger RNA is filed under the name bacterium. It matches the Rfam family "transfer-messenger RNA". Rfam says of the family: Bacterial tmRNA, also known as 10Sa RNA or SsrA, is named for its dual tRNA and mRNA-like properties. Its role is to liberate the mRNA from a stalled ribosome. RNAcentral also lists the same sequence under 5 other names. The record is from RNAcentral.
GGGGGUGAGAAGUUUCGACAGAAAUUUUUUGUCAAAAUAGGCAGAUUGAGUUUACUAGAAACUCAUUAAACUUCUAGCAAAAAAUAAGUGCCAACUUAUUCAACAAACCCGCUUUAGCUUUUGCCUAAAGCCAUCUCCAUUAGUGAUUCUCGAUAGCUAAAGGUAGGUGUCAUAUCAUCGAGAUAGGUAGUUCUUUUUGUCUCGAAAACUAUCGAAAAAAAGAGACAAAUAGUGGUACUAGAUUUGUCUGUCGGUCUAGUAUUCCAAACUAAGACAGACUAAAUCUGUAGAAAUAUUUUGGCAAAGUUUCUGGAUCGGAGUUCAAAGCUCCGCACCUCCACAA